GUGCUCGCUUCGGCAGCACAUAUACUAAAAUUGGAACGAUACAGAGAAGAUUAGCAUGGCCCCUGCGCAAGGCCAGAAAAAUAAACGACCCAAUCAAAAAAUGG
This 104-nucleotide small nuclear RNA is filed under the name Capra hircus (goat). The record is from RNAcentral. Lineage: Eukaryota; Metazoa; Chordata; Mammalia; Artiodactyla; Bovidae.